RNAcentral lists this ribosomal RNA (586 nucleotides) under uncultured bacterium. RNAcentral's name for it is "partial 16S ribosomal RNA". It matches the Rfam family "Bacterial small subunit ribosomal RNA", at positions 355 to 1375 of the family's 1533-position model. The record is from RNAcentral.
UGGGGAAUUUUGGACAAUGGGCGAAAGCCUGAUCCAGCAAUGCCGCGUGUGUGAAGAAGGCCUUCGGGUUGUAAAGCACUUUUGUCCGGAAAGAAAUCCUUGGCUCUAAUACAGUCGGGGGAUGACGGUACCGGAAGAAUAAGCACCGGCUAACUACGUGCCAGCAGCCGCGGUAAUACGUAGGGUGCAAGCGUUAAUCGGAAUUACUGGGCGUAAAGCGUGUGCAGGCGGUUUGCUAAGACCGAUGUGAAAUCCCCGGGCUCAACCUGGGAACUGCAUUGGUGACUGGCAGGCUAGAGUAUGGCAGAGGGGGGUAGAAUUCCACGUGUAGCAGUGAAAUGCGUAGAGAUGUGGAGGAAUACCGAUGGCGAAGGCAGCCCCCUGGGCCAAUACUGACGCUCAUGCACGAAAGCGUGGGGAGCAAACAGGAUUAGAUACCCUGGUAGUCCACGCCCUAAACGAUGUCAACUAGUUGUUGGGGAUUCAUUUCCUCAGUAACGUAGCUAACGCGUGAAGUUGACCGCCUGGGGGAGUACGGUCGCAAGAUUAAAACUCAAAUGAAUUGACGGGGUCAUAGCUGUUUCCU